AGGGGUGUGGCUCAAUUGGUAGAGUGCUUGCCUAGCAAGCGUAAGGUCCUGGGUUCAAUCCCUAGCACCUCAG
RNAcentral lists this transfer RNA (73 nucleotides) under Dipodomys ordii (Ord's kangaroo rat). It matches the Rfam family "tRNA". Rfam says of the family: Transfer RNA (tRNA) molecules are approximately 80 nucleotides in length. The record is from Rfam by way of RNAcentral. Lineage: Eukaryota; Metazoa; Chordata; Mammalia; Rodentia; Heteromyidae.